This 1075-nucleotide long non-coding RNA is filed under the name Phascolarctos cinereus (koala). RNAcentral describes it as "lncRNA (ENSPCIG00000035089.1)". The record is from RNAcentral. Lineage: Eukaryota; Metazoa; Chordata; Mammalia; Diprotodontia; Phascolarctidae.
GUUGAAAGAUGGCAUGGAAUGUUCCUAGGGAGCAGGGGAGUGGGUGGGAGGAAGGAGAGUGGGAGGGGCUAGGGGCUGCAAUCACAGCUGGCCUUCUAUAAAUUCAGCAGGAGAUUCUGCUGGUUUCUGUGCCCUAGAUCACUUGACAGUUAGACAGUGAGAAGCUAUUGCUUUUUGGGCAUCUUAACUUUGAGAUCAUGAGUGGAAUCACCCAGGAGCAAAAAGAGGCCAGUGGUGGCUCUGGCAGUGCCUCUGCAGGUAGCCAGGAAUCCUGGGACCCCAAUGUACUGGAUCUGACUUGCCGAGAGGGAUCCUGGGAUGAUGACCUUCCUCAAAGUGAGCUCGCCCUGGAGCCUUCCCCAACCGAAGACUUGGACUUCAAAGGAAUCGUGUCCCGCAGAGGCAAAAGCAGCAGCAUUUACAAGGCCAGACAGAGUGCUGCUACAUUCAGAAUUGGAAAAGGAAAAGGUGAUGGCAACUGGGCUAGUAGAAGGAAUCUGGAGAGGAUUGAGAAGGAAGGCACUGUGCCGGCCAGCCAGAGAGACGAGGAGAUAAAAGAGCUAGGCAAGCAGCAGCAAGCUAAGACCAACAUGGAGAGAGAGGCUGAAGGCAAAGGUGACGACGGCAUGGGAAACCAGGCUUAGGAGGAGCCAGCUUGGAGGAGGAAGAGGACCCUGAAGAUCCAGGCAGCCAAGACCAGCCAGGCCUUCUCUACCAAGGCCAGCAUGUGCUCCCCACUGUCCUAUGUCUAACAGGUCCCUCAGCUGCCCCUCCUCUGCCUUUCACACUUUCCCACUUCUUGCAAGUCUCCCAGGAGACAGAGUAAAACCGCAGUAGUUUUGCUUUUUUAACUUUGACGCUUGUAUUCAUUUGAUAAUUAAAAAGUAAAUUGUUCCUUUUGCAGUUUUGUUUUGUUUUGUUUUUUAAAGGGGGGCUGUUGGGGAGGAGGGGAAGGGACACCCUGGAGUAAGUGGGAGUGUCCAUCUUUGAGGACCUGGUAUGGCCAAGCAGCAAAGUCCCCCCGGGGCCAGGUGAGAUGAUGUAUGUAGUAGGGGAUGGCCUGCACACUGGCCUC